Non-coding RNA from Petromyzon marinus (sea lamprey), 171 nucleotides. The record is from RefSeq and is a predicted model, not a curated record. NCBI's taxonomy places the organism in Eukaryota, Metazoa, Chordata, Hyperoartia, Petromyzontiformes, Petromyzontidae.
CGCAGGCUUUCCUACCAAGUUGACCUGUGUGGCAGAGUUGAGUGAAUUCCUCACCAUGGUUGUGUUCCUGUGCUCUGCCCAGCAUUCUGCCGUCAACUAUGGCCAGUUUGACUUCUAUGCAUGGAUCCCAAAUGCACCCAGUGCCAUGAGGAAACCACCUCCAACCACCAA